CCUACGGGGGGCAGCAGUGAGGAAUCUUGGUCAAUGGGCGCAAGCCUGAACCAGCCAAGUCGCGUGAGGGAUGACGGCUCUACGGGUUGUAAACUUCUUUUAUAAAAGAGUAAAGUGAGGCACGUGUCCCUUUUUGUAUGUACUUUAUGAAUAAGGAUCGGCUAACUCCGUGCCAGCAGCCGCGGUAAUACGGAGGAUCCGAGCGUUAUCCGGAUUUAUUGGGUUUAAAGGGAGCGUAGACGGGUUGUUAAGUUAGAGGUGAAAUUUUGGGGAUCAACCUUAGAAGUGCAUGUGAUACUGGGAGUCUAGAGUAUAGUUGAGGUAGGCGGAAUGCGUGGUGUAGCGGUGAAAUGCUUAGAUAUCAUGCAGAACACCGAUUGCGAAGGCAGCUUACUAAUCUACCACUGACGUUGAGGCUCGAAAGCGUGGGUAGCAAACAGGAUUAGAUACCCGGGUAGUC
RNAcentral lists this ribosomal RNA (460 nucleotides) under uncultured bacterium. RNAcentral describes it as "partial 16S ribosomal RNA". It matches the Rfam family "Bacterial small subunit ribosomal RNA", at positions 338 to 795 of the family's 1533-position model. The record is from RNAcentral.